AGAAUCAACGCUGGCGGCGUGCCUAACACAUGCAAGUCGAACGAGAAAGGGUAGCAAUACCUGAGUAAAGUGGCGCACGGGUGAGUAACACGUGACUAACCUACCCUGGAGUGGGGGAUAACUGAGGGAAACCUUAGCUAAUACCGCAUAACACCUACGGGUCAAAGGAGCAAUUCGCUUCAGGAGGGGGUCGCGGCCGAUUAGUUAGUUGGCGGGGUAAUGGCCCACCAAGACAGUGAUCGGUAUCCGGCCUGAGAGGGCGCACGGACACACUGGAACUGAAACACGGUCCAGACUCCUACGGGAGGCAGCAGUGGGGAAUUUUGCGCAAUGGGGGAAACCCUGACGCAGCAACGCCGCGUGGAGGAUGAAGUACUUCGGUACGUAAACUCCUUUCGAUCGGGACGAUAAUGACGGUACCGGAAGAAGAAGCCCCGGCUAACUUCGUGCCAGCAGCCGCGGUAAUACGAGGGGGGCAAGCGUUGUUCGGAAUUAUUGGGCGUAAAGGGUGCGUAGGCGGUUUGGUAAGUCUCUUGUGAAAUCUAUGGGCUCAACUCAUAGACUGCAAGGGAAACUGCCGGGCUCGAGUGUGGGAGAGGUGAGUGGAAUUCCUGGUGUAGCGGUGAAAUGCGUAGAUAUCAGGAGGAACACCUGUGGCGAAAGCGGCUCACUGGACCACAACUGACGCUGAUGCACGAAAGCUAGGGGAGCAAACAGGAUUAGAUACCCUGGUAGUCCUAGCCCUAAACGAUGACUGCUUGGUGUGACGGGUACCCAAUCCCGUCGUGCCGUAGCUAACGCGUUAAGCAGUCCGCCUGGGGAGUACGGUCGCAAGGCUGA
RNAcentral lists this ribosomal RNA (840 nucleotides) under uncultured soil bacterium. RNAcentral describes it as "bacterial SSU rRNA". It matches the Rfam family "Bacterial small subunit ribosomal RNA", at positions 26 to 897 of the family's 1533-position model. The record is from RNAcentral.